Quercus robur (English oak) is the source of this 1782-nucleotide long non-coding RNA. RefSeq lists it as uncharacterized. The transcript is spliced from 3 exons. NCBI's taxonomy places the organism in Eukaryota, Viridiplantae, Streptophyta, Magnoliopsida, Fagales, Fagaceae. The record is from RefSeq and is a predicted model, not a curated record.
AAACAAAGAGAAAAUAACAAAUCAAUCGAUGCUUUUCUCUACCUGUAUCUCACGUUUCCAACCUCAAGAACCGUCUGCUAAUCAAAACCAUACCCACAAUUGAAGAACCAGACAGCGCCGCACCCACAAAUUUCAAUCCAACUCGGCGGCGCACCAACAACCUCAAAUCGGCGGCUCUUCAUCUCUUCCCGUACAACUCGGCGGCGCUUCUUCUCUUCCAUUCCAAAUCGGCGGCGCCACCCACAAUCUUCAGUGUCCUGUGGAGCACCCAGAGAAGUUCUAGAAAUUCGGAAUGACACCUAGAAAAGGGGUCCUUUUCUAGAAUGAUUUGGUAAAAUAGUUAAGGCUCCUCCCUUACCUGAUGGUUCUUGAUAUUUGUCUUUGUGGUAAACCUGUGAGGCUUCUUAUAUUCCAUUUCUUUUUCUUGCAGCUGGAUUAAAACUUUGGCUCUGAGUUGUUGAUAUUUUACAUUGUGUGGGUUACAUAAUUAAUUCCUGUUUAUCGAUGGUCUCUCAUCUUUCAUGUAAUAUCUUAAUUGUUGUUGCAGAGAGGAAGCAGUGUACGCAUUUAAUUUAAUGAUUGUUCUUGGAGGACUGCUCUUCCACUCAAAUACUGUAACUUUUAUGCUAGGGGAGUUGGCUAAUGGAAGUCCCAAGGCUGGGGAUUAUGAGGGAAACAGGCUACUUAUAAAUUAUCAUGAAAAUUUGAAGAAGUUCAAAAUUAUGCAUGGUUAUUAGGGAUAGAAAACACAAAAGUUCAAAAUUUUUCAUUUUAAUUUACAUAGGAAUGGAAAACACAAAAUUUCACUUUCAUACUCAUCUGAAUGUUGCUGCAUAUAGUCAGUCAUUUGAGACCAUAAUUUUUGGGAAGAUUGGUCAGGUGUGGGAAGGAUGUCUCUCAGUAAUCACAUUUUCAGAUUUGGGCAAAAUGCAUUUCAGGGAUUCAUAUGAGAAGCUGCAUCUCAUAUUAUUUUUGGUCAGUGCUCUCCACUUCCUGGUCUGGUUUCUCUGCAGAGAUCUCCAUUCUCAUUUCUUGACUGAGGACCAAGUGCUCUCCACUUCCUGGUCCGGUUGCUUUGUAUAAUUAGGUUUUAUAUUUAUCAAAUCUUCAGUGACACGUCUGUUGAACUUAUUGUAUGCCUUUUUGGGUCACAAUGGGGCAGGGCUUUCGUGUCCUCCAUUACUGCAUUUGCCAUUUGGUUUUCAGUUCUCAAACAUUGUUAUUUAUGGAUGAAAACUUAAGUGAUGAAUUGGAAAAACAAAAGAAAUCUAUGGGCCUAAUUGGCUACGAAUGUUCAAAUUUAUGCAUGGUUAUUUUUACUACUUCUACCACUUCUUCUAGGUAACGCUGAUGUAGCAUGGUAGUGUACAUUAUGACUUUGAGAUGUAACGUACACUGUGUUCCUAUAGGUGGAUCAUGUUUAAGGAAUUACUGAGAAUUUGCAUGUGUUAUUAAUCAUGGCUGUUCUAUUCCACCAGUCUUGUGUUUUCUUUUUCAGGUGGUCAAUAGUUCUCAGAUUCACUAAUCUUUGAACUUUUUUUCUUUCCUCUUUCAGGCUAGCCAGGAGUAUAAUAAUUGAAGAUGGCAUUGAACCCAGGCUUACAUGGAAUGCUGAUAGACCCCAUUUUGUGUCUGUACAUCUGAUGAAGAUGGUCAGAUAAAAUAUUAGUUUGUUGCCUUACUCUUGGAGUUAGAACCUAUUUGUAACUUGCAAAAUGGCUUAUUUAGCAUCAAACUUUCUCUGUGUACAAUUUUAUCUAAAGAAAAGCACUUAAUUACUCA